RNAcentral lists this ribosomal RNA (551 nucleotides) under uncultured bacterium. Its description in RNAcentral is "bacterial SSU rRNA". It matches the Rfam family "Bacterial small subunit ribosomal RNA", at positions 341 to 906 of the family's 1533-position model. The record is from RNAcentral.
ACGGGAGGCAGCAGUGGGGAAUUUUCCGCAAUGGGCGAAAGCCUGACGGAGCAACGCCGCGUGAGGGAUGAAGGCCUCUGGGCUGUAAACCUCUUUUAUCAAGGAAGAAGAUCUGACGGUACUUGAUGAAUAAGCCACGGCUAAUUCCGUGCCAGCAGCCGCGGUAAUACGGGAGUGGCAAGCGUUAUCCGGAAUUAUUGGGCGUAAAGCGCGCGCAGGUGGUUUCUUAAGUCUGAUGUGAAAGCCCACGGCUCAACCGUGGAGGGUCAUUGGAAACUGGGAGACUUGAGUGCAGAAGAGGAAAGUGGAAUUCCAUGUGUAGCGGUGAAAUGCGUAGAGAUAUGGAGGAACACCAGUGGCGAAGGCGACUUUCUGGUCUGUAACUGACACUGAGGCGCGAAAGCGUGGGGAGCAAACAGGAUUAGAUACCCUGGUAGUCCACGCCGUAAACGAUGAGUGCUAAGUGUUAGAGGGUUUCCGCCCUUUAGUGCUGAAGUUAACGCAUUAAGCACUCCGCCUGGGGAGUACGGCCGCAAGGCUGAAACUCAAAG